RNAcentral lists this ribosomal RNA (406 nucleotides) under uncultured prokaryote. Its description in RNAcentral is "partial 16S ribosomal RNA". The record is from RNAcentral.
CCCUAUGGGGUGCAGCAGGAAUCUCAAACUUGGGCUACUAUUACCUUCCAAAACUAUUUUCGUCUCUAUGAAAAACUAGCCGGCAUGACUGGCACUGCCGCUACUGAGGCUGAAGAAUUUAAAAAAAUCUAUAAUCUUGAGGUAAUCACCAUCCCCACUCAUCGUAAUCUUCAGAGAAUAGAUGAUAAUGAUCUAAUUUUCAAAACUCAGCGCAUAAAAUAUGCCGCUAUCGCCGCCAAAGUCGAAGAGCUUCACGCCAAAGGACAGCCGGUUUUGAUUGGCACUACGAGUAUUGCCAAAAAUGAAAUUGUUUCCUCCAUGCUUCGGAAAAAAGGGAUUCCUUUUCAAAUGUUAAAUGCCAAGAAUCAUCGCUCGGAAGCCGAAAUUAUUGCCAAGGCGGGGGGGC